This 371-nucleotide ribosomal RNA is filed under the name uncultured organism. Its description in RNAcentral is "partial 16S ribosomal RNA". It matches the Rfam family "Bacterial small subunit ribosomal RNA", at positions 527 to 896 of the family's 1533-position model. The record is from RNAcentral.
GUAGGGUGCGAGCGUUAAUCGGAAUUACUGGGGCGUAAAGCGUGCGCAGGCGGUUAUGUAAGACAGAUGUGAAAUCCCCGGGGCUCAACCUGGGAACUGCAUUUGUGACUGCAUGGCUAGAGUACGGUAGAGGGGGAUGGAAUUCCGCGUGUAGCAGUGAAAUGCGUAGAUAUGCGGAGGAACACCGAUGGCGAAGGCAAUCCCCUGGACCUGUACUGACGCUCAUGCACGAAAGCGUGGGGAGCAAACAGGAUUAGAUACCCUGGUAGUCCACGCCCUAAACGAUGUCAACUGGUUGUUGGGAAUUAGUUUUCUCAGUAACGAAGCUAACGCGUGAAGUUGACCGCCUGGGGAGUACGGCCGCAAGGUUG